GCUGGGCGUGGUGGUGGGUGCCUGUAAUCCCAGCUACUCGGGAGGCUGAGGCAGGAGAAUUGCUUGAACCCAGGAGGCGGAGGUUGCAGUGAGCUGAGAUCGUGCCACUGCACUCCAGCCUGGGCGACAGAGCAAGACUCUGCCUCUC
RNAcentral lists this non-coding RNA (148 nucleotides) under Pan paniscus (pygmy chimpanzee). RNAcentral also lists the same sequence under 1 other name. The record is from Rfam by way of RNAcentral. Lineage: Eukaryota; Metazoa; Chordata; Mammalia; Primates; Hominidae.